UGCGAUGGUAAAAAUGCGAUGGUAUCUA
This 28-nucleotide small RNA is filed under the name Bombyx mori (domestic silkworm). RNAcentral describes it as "ovarian small RNA-33947". Lineage: Eukaryota; Metazoa; Arthropoda; Insecta; Lepidoptera; Bombycidae. The record is from RNAcentral.